AACCAGCACGUCAAGUGGUCAGGAUGAUUAUUGGGCCUAAAGCAUCCGUAGCUCGUUUUGUAAGUUUUCGGUUAAAUCCAUACGCUCAACGUAUGGGCUGCCGGGAAUACUGCAUAACUAGGAAGUGGGAGAGGUAGACGGUACUCGAUAGGAAGGGGUAAAAUCCUUUGAUCUAUUGAUGACCACCUGUGGCGAAGGCGGUCUACCAGAACACGUUCGACGGUGAGGGAUGAAAGCUGGGGGAGCAAACCGG
Molecule: ribosomal RNA, 253 nt
Filed under: uncultured archaeon
Lineage: Archaea
Description: partial 16S ribosomal RNA
Rfam family: Archaeal small subunit ribosomal RNA
Source: RNAcentral